Molecule: long non-coding RNA, 4089 nt
Organism: Helianthus annuus (common sunflower)
Lineage: Eukaryota; Viridiplantae; Streptophyta; Magnoliopsida; Asterales; Asteraceae
Exons: 2
Source: RefSeq, a predicted model, not a curated record
AUUUUAAACUUAUAGUACAAACAGUAAUAUGCAACAAAUACAUAGUGAAUGACAGUUGCAUAUAGAAUAUGAAACUUGGAAAACCUGGAUAGGUUACCUAUCCAGGAUGACGUUUCCAAGAGAAAUUCAGUAGAGAAUAUGUAUUAUUCACAAAUUGUGAAUAACAAGACAAUAACAGAAUUCAGUUUAUAUAGAAACUUGGACGAGAGUGAUCAUCCAAGUAAGUAUUCUCAAUAUAAAUCCUAUUGAGAAAAGUAAUGAUCACAUCAACAAAUGUGAAUAAAUGUUUAUAAAAAGGGACAUUUUACAUGUUCAAGGAUAAACGACUAAAACUAAUAAUUGUUAACUAACAAUUAAAUAAAGUUUUACCAAAUGAAAUCAUAAAUAUGGAAAUAAUUUGAGGAGUUACUUACAUGGGACAUGAUGUGGUAAUUAUAAUAAGGUCACGCGUACCAUGUGUUGAUCGCUUACUCUGGCCAAGUAAGUAGUGAACACAUGAUAGCAUGAGCUUCUUAUAAUGAGCGCAGUUAUGUCCGAUGUAGUAAGGUCAAGAUGAAUGAAAAUUUAAAGGAUCCUUAGGGUCAAGAAAUCUUAUGGGCAUACUCGUAUAAAUGGUUUUCGCGGGAACCAUAAAAACGACGUAUGGCGCACAUAGAAAUAAACGACCCAAGGAAAUUCGUGACAUAAGUCAUUUCGGACGAAACAACCAUGGUAGACAAAAAGGGCAUUGUAAAACCAAAGUAUAAAUGACCCGCGGGGUCAUAGAAACAAAGGUUUUGCCCACAUGGGAAAAACGAUCAAAAACCAUGGUAGACAAAAAGGGCAUUGUAAAACCAAAGUAUAAAUGACCCGCGGGGUCAUAGAAACAAAGGUAUUGCCCACAUGGAAAAACGAUCAAAGUCGUUGACUUUGGCCGUAGUAAAGAAAUGAUGAUGAUGAUGAUAAUCAUCAUUCAUAGUUUAUAAGACUGUCAAGGAUGGUCGAAUAAAGAAUAAAGGUUUGGUUGAAUAAAAGCGAUGGAUUUCGCUAAGACAACCAAACAAAUUAAAACGAAAUCUUAAUGUAUACCGGAAUGCUUGCACUAAUAAUGACUUCGGUAAAGUAUCCGGUUGAUGGGUAAGGAUUUAAACACAUGCGUAAACCGAGAAACGGGAACACGAAUUUAAAGUCAAAAGACUCGGAUUAUGAGUUAUGACUGAAAGACCAUAAAAUUUCGCAAACAGAAAUUUUGAUAAUUAUAUUCAAAUAUUCGAAGUCGAAUGGGUUGAAUAAAGAAUAAAGUUGAUUGUUUAUAAGUGAUGGAUUUCACAUUAAUAAGUCAAACAGGUUGAAUACAAUAUAACGCCGAAUGGCACAAAUGAGCGCUAGCCAGAUAAGGGUAGCGUUAAAUGCAAGAGAAUAAUGAGCCCGGUAAUGGGAUAUAACCAAAUAAGAAUAAAUUAUGGACUGUCAAUAUCCUGGUAGGGAUAAUUGACAAAAGUUAAAGAGAAGAUCCUAAAACUAAAACUUCGGUUUUAGUAAGAAAUAAUGUUUUUACAAACAUAGACUCUGAUAGGAAUUUAAAUAAUAAGUAUGAAAGAUACAAAUCUUGACACUGAUAGGUGCAAGACAAUAUAUUCGAAAAGUGAUAUUUUCGAAGAUGAAAAGGUUAAUAUAAAUUAAACAUGAUGUGACAUGAUCACGGUCAAGAGGUACAAUGUGAAGAAGAAUCACAUUAUAACCAAGCGAGCGGUAAAAAGAAACCGGACUAAUAAGUCUAGUUAGUGAAACCGGUUAAGGUCAAUAAUUCAAGUUAAGAAAUUUGGUUUGCUUGUAAGUGGUAAAUUCGGUAUAACUGAACCGAAUAAAUAAAUUUGAAAAUAAAAAGAUUUGUUGCUAAAAGUGAAAGAUUUCACUAAGGACCUUUAAACGGGUCAAAGUAACGGGUUCAUAAAGAAAUCCGAUAGUAUAUGAAAGCAUUGAAUAUCGCUAAGUUGAUUAAACUAGUGGAAAUAACGAGAUUACGUUAUUUCAAGUCGCAUCAUGUCAUAUAAGAUACGUAGAUGAUUAAUAACCAAAAGGAUAUUACCAUACUUUUCUGGUAAUACUAACAAUCGGUUAAAAUAUGAGAAAUGCUUAAUUGAUUAUCGAGAGCAAAUGCAUGGAGUGGAACUCGAUAAAUUAAGUAAGAAAAGGUUUCGGGGACGAAACCUCUUUAAGGGGGGUAGACUUGUAACACCCCGAAAACGAGUUUGGUAAUUAAACCCCGUUAAUACUAAAGACGGGGAAAGUACCGUUAGUGGUAAAAGUAAACUGUCAAAUAUUAGGAAUUUAUUUAAUAAUCCUAAUAUUUAUUUGAAGUGAAUAAAAAGCUUUUAAGAAAUAAAGUGAUAGAAGGCCCGAGUUAACGGGACCCGAAAUAAACUUAGUCAUAAAUAUUCUCGAACCCGCAAAGUUAACUAGGAAUAUUAAACCUAGUUAAUAAGUGGGGAAUAUUGUUAGAAAUAAGUAGGUUGUUCCCUACUUAAUUAACUAACCAAAUUAGAGGGGCCAAUAUUGUUAAAAUUGAAACUUAACUUUAAUUAAUUAAAUAAAACACACCAAACACCCCACAAGGAGGUGUCUGGUCGUACAAGAAGAACAGGGGGGCGAUCCCCACACAUCAAAACCCUAAGUCUUCACCAAACUUGCAAAUUGAAGGCUCAAUCCAAGUCAAAAUCGAAAAUCAAGCAUAGAUUAUUGAUCCCCAUUGAAAGGGGAGUCAUAAGUUUGACUCUGACAAGCUAGGUAGGAGCUUGGAAAUGAACGGGUCAAAUGGAUACAAGUUCAAGUAUGAAGCUCGCAAGGAUGCAAGGUAAGUAUAACUUACACUAGUCAUAUAUUUUAAAAUGUUCUUUUGUCAUAUUGACUACGAAUAAGACAAAUGGUAAUUUAGUCACACGUUGACAAUAAUCGUUAGUUUUAAAAGACGCUUUCCCGCGAAAGACAUAAAGAGCCGAAAGUGGUAAUAAACGGUUUAUAAAUAAAAUGAGCAUACGGUGUUAAAAGGAGCGAGUCAUGUAGAUGAGAUGAUAAUAAAUAUUAUCUCGCAAAGAUAAACGGUCAAUUCGGCCAAACGGGUCAAAAGGUGUAGACAUCACCUUUUGACAAUAUCGACUAAUGAUUCUGGUGUCGAGUUAUAUGUUUACAGGAGUAGAUAUCCAAUGGAUACUCGCAUCGCUCUUAAUUAGCAAUUAUAAAGCAAGGUAUUAAACCGGGUUAGUAAGUUGAUCCGAGCCAGGUAUGUAUAAUAGAUUAACUCAUCAUGUAGAACUUGAAGUUCUAUGAAAGUUAGGCAAAAUAAAAAAAAGGCAUUCGGUUACCUUAAUAGGUAAACCGAAGGAUUUAAAUUAUUUAGACAGAAUGUUUUGAAAACAAGAUUUGGUUAAAAAUGAGAAAUUAGAAUCAAACAACAGGUUUGUUUGAUAAAAUCACGAACGGGUCAAAUUUGGUAAAAAGGGUUAAUAAGCCGAAGACUUAAAAGUCUUAAAAUUUUGUUAAUCCAGAUGUUGGGUCUUGACUCCAUUUGAUGGAGGUUCAAUUUACAAUCACGUAGGAAGAAACGGUAGGUCAAACAGACGAGCGGUUUGAAAGAUACGAAAGUUUUCGUGUCAAAAACGGCAAAAAGGAAAGGAAUGAUGCAGGGGCCACCGUAACUUACGGUGCCACCGUAAGUUACGGUGGACAUGAUUUGGUUACGGUAAAUGCCUACUGUUGUACGGUUGAAUAAUUGAAACACAGAGACCACCGUAACUUACGGUGCCACCGUAAGUUACGGUGGAGGUCAGAAAUGAGUUUUUAUUUUGGGUUUAAGAUAUCCAUGUGGGAUUUUCCUAAUUUCCCCAUUGUAUUAGUUUAAUUAAUUAUCAAAACUGACCUUUAAGUUGGUUUUGAUCACAGGUGAAUGUCGAGGGUCCCGGAUGAAGAUCGAGCAUCGAGCAAGAACCGAACACACAUUAAAUAAAGCUUCCGCAACGUUGUUUUGUCGUUAUUCUAAACGGUGAUUUAAAUCACAUUAUGUAUAUCACUUAAAUUGUAAAAGUUUUUAAUAAACCCGCAUUUUGUACAGUA